GGGCGUAUGGUCUAGUGGUAAGACGUCUCAUUUGCAAAGAAUGUUCGUUGCCUUGAACUUGUUCCAAUAGAACGGGUGAAAGGGUUCGAAUGAUACAAUGCUCCAUGAGAAGGUCCCGGGUUCGAACCCCGGUACGUCCA
This is a non-coding RNA of Apiosordaria backusii, 140 nucleotides long. The record is from the annotation of a GenBank genome assembly. Lineage: Eukaryota; Fungi; Ascomycota; Sordariomycetes; Sordariales; Lasiosphaeriaceae.